Phlebotomus papatasi is the source of this 5865-nucleotide long non-coding RNA. RefSeq lists it as uncharacterized. The transcript is spliced from 3 exons. NCBI's taxonomy places the organism in Eukaryota, Metazoa, Arthropoda, Insecta, Diptera, Psychodidae. The record is from RefSeq and is a predicted model, not a curated record.
CGAGGGAUCCAGUCAGUCGAAAAUUGUAAAUCAACUUGCAAAGAGAGUUACGCAAUUUUGUUAAUUAAAACUUUUUUAAAGUUCAUGAAUCUCCAGAAUGAAGGUCUUUAGUGUUGUGACGAUAUUUUCAACAAUCCUUUGGAUGAGUUUAUUGGGAAUGUGCCAGGACGUGCAAGUGCCUGACCUAGAAAUCCAUACUCCUCUUCACACAACAACACUUCCAUUGACAACCACUGUCACGGAAACAUCAUCAGAAAGUGAUUUGUCUGAACGAGAAACUGAAAAGCCAUUAAUCGAAAAUAGGCCACGGAUUUACUUCAAGAAAUGCGAUUACUUUAUAAGUGGCCGAAGAUCGUGCUACUCAUGCUGCAGAAUUACAUAUCUUCCAACAAUCAGAUGCUGCAGAACAAGGAAAUCGUUCUGUGCACGUAAAUACGGUUAUCAAUAUAUUUACGGAUAAGUAAUAUUGCAGAAGUGAAGUGAUUUAAAAGCAAAAUAAUAAAAACAAAGCAUACUAGCCCAGCAAAAUGCUUGAACUGCUGACUUUGAUGCAAAAAAAUUUGUUUAGCUUUAAUUGCUUAAUGGUUCAACCUAUUGCGUGUGUGCUCCCGAUUUCAAGUAUUUUGCAAAUUUAUUUCAAUUGCUUUUUAUUAUAAAUCUCCAAUACAAUGAAGUUAAAUUAAAGUUUAUUUUAAAAUUCUUGGACACUUUAUGGUUCAAGUGCUAAAGCACUCGCUCUAUGAUGCAAGUGUCCCGGGUCGAAUCCCCUUUAGAUCACCAGGAUUUUUUCUGGCGUUAAAGGUGUUCGUAUUGCAUCAAGUGAGCUUCACUGCACUUGAUUCUACGGGCAUGAAACUGACAACCUCAUCGCGUACAAGAAAAAAAAAUAAUAAUGCAUGUCUAGAAAUCCCCUUGUGGGAAGGCCUAGUUCCUUCAAGGAAUAAUGUGCCAGCAUUAUUAUUAUUAUUAUUAUUUUAAAAUUCUAUAGCUUUAAAAUCGAAGUAAAUACAACUGAUUUAUGCAGAUCAAAAUUAAUUAUUGGUUUAGUACAUUUAGAACCAAUGACAAAAUGACCCAUAUCCAAUGAUCCAAAAUUUGCUCCAGUUAAGAAAUAUGCUUCUGGAUUAUAUUUUGACUUUUACAAUGAAGAACCUUUAGAAAAGUUACCGGUCUUUAUAAUAUAUUAAUGAUAUAUCCGUCUGGACAAUAAACUUAAAACAAGUACCCUAGAUGCGGCUGACUUUGCAUCCGUACAUUUCGUAAGCUUUUCUUUAAAUCUACCACUUAAGAAUGGCCUUUUUAGACCAUCAGUAAAUGCCAUAAAUAAAAAAAAGAAAUUUAAGAAAAACAAGGGUGCAAAACAACUCGUAUCUACGAUACUAAAAAAUAAAAAUAAAAAGUAAUUGGAAAAUUUUGGAAAUUUUCUUGAGAUAAUUAAAGACAAUAAAAAAAGGUUUUAGAUGGAUAGAGGAACCGAAAUAAAGUACAAUUUAACCAAUUUAACACUAAACUAAUUUAUAGGGGUCACAUUUAUAGGGCUUCUACAUAGGCUAUCGGAUAAAUAAACAAUGGCCUCAAUUCUGAGAUCGAGAUCAAGAUCAAAAUUUCAAGCUGUCAAAUAUUUACAAGAUCAAGAUUUCAUAUUCUGACGCAAAGUAUUUAUGGAAUUUAAAAUGUCUUAGCUAAGAACCAAGAUUUCAAGAUUUUCUACACUUAACGAAACGUCACUUCUGACAAAUAUCUUCAUUUCUUUGUCGAAUUUGUUGAAAUUUCGCCAUAUAAAUUAGAAAAAUUAAUUAUAGGUUGUAUUAAAUAAUAUAUGACAGGCCAUAAUUGGGAAUAAAAGAAGUGCAAACAAAACUUGUAACGUGUGAUAAACCCUGCAAUGCUUAUGCAAGAUGUGAUUCUUUUGCAGGUAUUCUCAGAGCGUUGUACUUCGAAACGUACAUCUAGAAAUAUGUAUCAUUACGAUUAAAUUACAAGAUCAAACAUAGCAUUUUUCAGAGUAAUUCCCUUUUUGUAUUAUCUCUUAUAGAAAUAUUCCUCAUGAAAAAUAAUUUCCGCAUGAACCUCAAAUUGUUAGUAUCUUGAAAAUUUCAAGCACCUCCGAGAGGUUCUUGGAAUUAUUUCAAGAAAACAAGAAAUUUGACGUCUUGGUUCUAGAAUUGCAAGUCUUGAUAUCCACAAGGUUUGUGUCUUGGAUUUCAAGAUUUCAAGACAUUUGACACAUUUGACAUCUUGAUCUUGAUUUUUUGAUUUCAGAAUACCAAAAUCUUGAAAUUUUCUUGAUCUUGAUCUUGGUCUCAGAAUUGAGGCCAAUGUAACGAAAUUUUAUGCGAAACCAAUGAGAAAUGAACAUGGUUUUUAUUAUUACUUUCCUGUUCUCAAGUGCUUCUGCAUUAUCGACUUUUAUUUUUAUUUUUUUAUUAUACGCUAGUACUGCUCCAGUACUUAAAGCCAUCAAAAUGUGAUGACAAGAAGCAAGAGAAAGAAAAGUCGAUUAUGCAGAGGCACUUGAGAACAGUAAAAUACUAAAAAAGAAACAUAUACAUUUUUAAUUGGAAUACAAGCAUUACACUGUUUUUGAUUUUGUUAAAUAACUUAUGUAUAUGUAUAAUUAAGCUAGAAUUAAAUAAUAAAAAAGAACUAAACCAGCUAGGUAUGACUGAAAAAAAAUGAAAAACGUAAUUAAGAUUGAAAUGUAGAAGGAAUAUGAGAAUCCUACAUAAUUGGAAAUUUUAGAGGUUUUUCACAUUCUAAUGGACUAUUUACUUUUAAUAUCUUAUUUUAAGUCAAUUUUUUCUCAAAAUUGCUGCUUGAUAAGAAAUUAGAGAAUAUAAGUAAUAUGACUAUUUAUGUUAGAUCUGAAGCCCGUAUAAGGCAUGGUGCUGCAAAUGAUCAUACCAGCAGUUUCUUUAGUAAUAAAUAAGUGUUAAUUAUUAUUAAUUUUAAAAGAAAAUUGUAAAAAAAAAUAUAGAGAAGUUAAGAUCGAUAGAAGACUUAUUGGACAGGAAACUCUUUUGACAAUUUCAUUAAAAUAGGGUAAAGUGGUACAAGUUGGACAGUGGUACAAGUUGGACAAUGGUACAAUUUGGACAGGGAUUUUUGUCUUGAUAAAUUUAGUAUUUCAUUUUUAUUUGUAUAUUUUUAAUGCUUUAGUUUUAUAAUUUGGUUCAUUGUGCUUAAAAACAAAUUUUGUACUGUAUUUAUCAAGAAAAAAUCCAUGUCCAACUUGUACCGGCGAAUUGUCCAACUUAUAACAGUAAUUCCAAAUUAUAUCACUUUACCCUACUGAAAUUUAUUUAAUAAUACAUGUUUGACGUGUUUUAAAGGGAUCUGUUCAAAUUUCAUAUUAUUAAAUUGUACAGAAAGAAUGUCAAAAGGUCUAGGUGGGUAUUUCUUCCACCAUAUUUAAAAUAAAGUUACGAGUAUGAAUUAACCUAAGCUCAAACCAUAAUUUAAAGAGAUUUCUCACAAUUUAGAAAAUGAAUCCAAAAUUAUUUUUAUAAAAAAUCAAAAAUUCAUAAUGUCUUCAGUAAUUUUUUACCUGUUGUUUAUAUUAGGCAAUAAAAAAAUUUAUUUAACCAGAAAGAAAAUAUAUUUGUUUUUUUUUCUUGAUAUACAAAUUAUGAUAAUGUCUCUGGUCCUUGCCACAUUUUUUGCGUCAGGAAAAUUUCAUGAAAUCGAAAUUACGAUCCAUUUCUUUCGUAAUCGUAUUGCAAAUUUCUUUUUUAUUCUUUUGUAUUUAAAUCUAAAUUUAAUUUGGCGUGAAAAUCAGGGAAAUACUAUUCAGAAAAUUGUGUGGUUAUUAGUUUGACUAGCUAUAAUAGUUCUUGGACAUUGCAUUUUUGUAGCUUUUUUUAUGUAAAAAAAAUACCCACUUUUCCAAACAACCUUUUGGUUCGGAAGUGGUCUUUCUUCUUCUCUCAAUUCUGUUUGGUAUACAGUAGACUCUUGCAAAUUCGGCUCUUUUAAGAUCGGGGUACUUUUUAAUUCGGGCAGCGGUUACAUUUGAAAAAAGUUUGUUGUCAUUUUUCAAGUUUGAUUAUGAUUGUCAAAUGAAUCAAAUAUGCUCAAAUUUGGCAUGGUUUGUCUUAAUUUUGAUGCGAUUUUGCAUUAUUGAGGGAUUUUCAUGUAAUUUACGUUAUAUAUGAGUGUGUAAACUCAAUAUCUCUAUGCACAUGAAUAAAAAAUCGUUGCAUUUCAAAAACUUUGUCGCCCGAAUUUCUGUCUAAUCCGGUUGACAUUUAGGUCCUAUAUGACCGAAUUUGAGAGAGUCUACUGUAUUCCCAAAGUAAAUGUAACAAUGAUAUUGUAUACAGCCUGCGAAAGGACAUUUCCAUCGUUUAGUCGUGGAGGCUGGAAUCAACGAUAAGACGGCGAUGGACGCAUGGGAAGAGGGGUAGAUAGACGAAAUGAGAUGAAAAUAAGUUGAAUUGAAUUGAAUUUCAGUAAACAUUGAUAAUAAAUUGUAUAAACAACACUGAAUUAAUAUGCUCUGGAAAGGAAUUUGAUAUUUAGAAAAUCUAUGAAAAUCUACCGGCGAACAUAUUUUACCAGGAUUAGUAAAGAAAAAUAGAAUAGGAAAUGUAAACUACUGGUAUGUUUGAUUAAUUUCAAUUACUCCCUAAAUAUGAACGCCUAAUCCAUUAGGACAUAUUCAGCACUCAUUAAACGCCCAAUAUUCAAAUCUAAAUUCAUUUAGUAAUAAAUUGAAAUUCACCAAAAGGUAUGGCAAGGAGACAUAAGCAAUAAGAAUUUCAGUGACAAAUGAGUUUCAUAGUUCUUAAUUAAAUAUAUUUUCUUCAUGUCAAUCAAUAGCAAUCAAAUAGGUAGCUAUAUUACCAACUACCUGAUAUUUUCCCAGAUGAAAUAAUAUUUUCAAAAUCGAUUACUUGAUGAAAACCUCAGAAUUUUCUCUUUGGCUCUGUUCGUUAAUUAAUUUUGUUGUAUUUUGCAUACUUAACACAUUUGAGAUGAUUGAGUUAUAACACAUAAGAAAAUGAAUUUUAUUUUCAUAUUUCUCAUCUUUCAAUUUGAUUUUCUAUUCAAGUCUUCAUAUUUCUAUUAUGAAGAUGAAUUCUGCAAUCAUAAAAUCUAACAAGUCAAAAUUAUAUAAGUUUGUGUGACUUUUUAAAUUAAUCGUCUGAGCAUAACAGACCCUUUAAAUUUAAGCCUUUAUUUUAGUUCUAAAAUAGGUGAUUGUUUUUCAGAUAAUUGUUUUUUAUUGAAUUUAGUGUAACAUUUCCAAACAUUUCAUAAAUAUAUUCACCAAUUUUUGCCAGUAUAGUGACCUACUUAUGGUCAAUUUAUUGUAAACAUAGGGUAAGUCAACCAAUUUCCGGCCAGCUUGAAAUUCCGACCACCUUUUUGCUCCUCGAAUUUCCAUGAAUAUUUAGUUUUUGCAUACUAUAGAGAUUUACAAUGCAAAAUUAACAAAACGAUAAGAAAGGAAAUGAUGUGAAAAGGGCAUUGGAAAAAUUCCCGAAGGGCAAAGAAAGAGUGAAAGUGUCCGAAAUAGGCCACCAAGCUAUGUCUACAUUUUUAUUCAUUUUAAAAUGUAUUAAGAAUGAUUUUAGAGAAAAUGCAAACGAUAAACUGUCUACAAGAUUCCAAGUACCACUCCUGAAGAAGGAAUAAAACAUUCAAUUUAUAUUAAAAAUAUUGCAUUUCAAACUUGAGAUUUUGGCGCUUGCAUGCAACUGUGCCGAAAUUUGGCACACUUACCCUAAUAAAUUUAAAAAAAAGAUCAAAAGGUGCAAUUAAUCUUCAUAGAAACCCAAUUAUUUAUGUAAGGAUAUCAAAAUCAAACAAGAGGAUGUCUGAUUUCCUUCAAUUUUCAAUUAAAAUAUUAUUUUUAACAAG